This 253-nucleotide ribosomal RNA is filed under the name uncultured bacterium. RNAcentral describes it as "partial 16S ribosomal RNA". It matches the Rfam family "Bacterial small subunit ribosomal RNA", at positions 524 to 776 of the family's 1533-position model. The record is from RNAcentral.
UACGUAGGGGGCGAGCGUUGUCCGGAAUUAUUGGGCGUAAAGCGCGCGCAGGCGGUUUCUUAAGUCUGAUGUGAAAGCCCACGGCUCAACCGUGGAGGGUCAUUGGAAACUGGGGAACUUGAGUGCAGAAGAGAAAAGCGGAAUUCUACGUGUGGCGGUGAAAUGCGUAGAGAUGUGGAGGAACACCAGUGGCGAAGGCGGCUUUUUGGUCUGUAACUGACGCUGAGGCGCGAAAGCGUGGGGAGCAAACAGG